AUACGCGAUCUACUUAUUAUUCAAAAUAAGCAGAUAAAAGAAGAUACCCAAUUUGGUAUCACGAAUCAUAGGGGUUACGGUUUCUAUUUUACUAGGCCUGUAACACAAGGAUGCGGCACGUAUUUUUUGUCGCAAACUCAGAGAACCUGAGUCGAUUUUGAGGUUUAUAUAAAC
Molecule: unclassified non-coding RNA, 174 nt
Filed under: Aliivibrio wodanis
Lineage: Bacteria; Pseudomonadati; Pseudomonadota; Gammaproteobacteria; Vibrionales; Vibrionaceae
Description: putative sRNA
Source: RNAcentral